UGUCAGUGUGCUUAUGCCAUGCUGUUUGCAUUGUCUUGCUUCCUACCUGUACAAUCCUCAAACCAAUAUUCUUUCUGUGCUCCAGAACGACUGGAAUGUCAUCGCUUGACUCAAUAUUCCAUAACCGCACAGUCUUAUCCUGAUAUCAAAAGUAUUUUCUGCAAAAUAAUUAUUCAAGGAUGAAGACCUCUGCAUUCUUUGAAAUACCAAGGUAUUUGCAAUAAAACCAGGAUAUUUUGGGGCUUUAAAUGCAGUGUAUAUCUGUGUUGUUUGCAAAACGCUAAAGAAGGGAGAUCUUGAAUUGAAUCUGGGUGACAAGAAAAAUGGCCAAACUCCAAAAAGAAUAACCCUGAAGAAUUAUUUCUUAGCCACCUGGUCAAUUUUCAGGAUAAAACAAACCUUUGAACAUGAUAAAACCCAGUUUUGGUCAUCACUGAAUCUGCAGUCAUUUACCCAUCCAGCGUGACCCUUUAAACAAAGAAGAAAGCCAUUAAUAAUCAACAGAAAGUCAACAUGUAUACAAGGCAUUAUAACAUAAUGUCAAUAUCAAUCAAAUAUCUUUAAUAAUGUUAUUUUGAAGUUUUCUUGAUAAUAAAUUGAAGUAUUUUUAAAUUGUAAACAAUACAAAAGGAGUAGUUAUUAAUUGACAUUGUUUAUAUUAAAGUUUACUCACUUUUAAUGCAAACUUCUGGCAGGAGUUGUCCACAUCCCAUAUGACUAAGGUUUCAUCAUACGAUGAAGAGACCAGAGAACUGCCUUCAAUCAUAGAAAUCUCCAUAAGAGUGUACAUCUCACCCAAGACUAAGUGUGACGUUGUUGCUUGAGGUGUCAAAUGUUCGCACGUCUACAAUCUUGGUGGUGCUGUCCAUGGAUGUGGAACAGAUACGGUUGUGGAGGGGUGAAAAACGACAACAAGUGAUGGUAUUACGGUGAUCUGGAGAUUAAAAGGAUGGAAUAAGAUAAUCUUAUUAAACUGUCAUAUAACUAAGGCUCAAGAGGUUUACCUUACAUUUAUAAAAAAAAUGAUUUAUCAUUUCAACACUUCAACAAUUUAAUUUUUCUACCAAAAAUGAGUUGAAAUUGACAUUGAAAGUGCUUUUGGAACACCACACAUGAUUAUAACAGGUUUACUACAUCUUUUAAACAUCUUCAAAAAGACACCAAAACUGUUGAUGCAAACUUCCAAAUGUUCUGGUACAAGAUUUUUUAUGCUGAUUGAUUGAAAUUGCUCCUUAUUCUAUUCAAUGUAUAUAAAUUUCUUACUAAAGAGUUUCUUGAUCAGCUUGCCAUCUCUUGCAUCCCACACACAGACAGCAUAGUCCAGGUCAUUUCCAGACACCACGUACUUGCCAUCGCUUGAGAAAUGACAUGUGGUCACAAUGCCUUCCUGGACAGCUUGCCACUAGUGAUGUUAAGUGUUUCAAAUUAGUAAUGCCAGAUUAAGACGAUUCAGUGAUUCAUUUUAAUAAGAUCCCUAAGAUGUGAAACUGUACACAAGUCAUUUUUUGAAACAGAUUUUGUUUUCAAAUCUGGUCUCUAUUACACUACAAAUUGGCUCUUUUAAUACUAUGUUGUCUCAAGAUGAUAUUGUUUUGUUCACUGUCUCUCUACAAAGCCAAACUGUUGUUACUAGGCCAGUAGAACACUAGUGUAAUGUGUGAUUUUUUUUAUUGCAGUAUAAUAAAUAGUAAAUAAGGUCAUCUACACACUUACCAAGGCACAACCAGUCUCAACAUCCCACAUUAUCAAGGUCUUGUCCCAGCCACCUGAUAUCAACCUAGAAAAAGAGAACAUUAGCCUAGAUCAUGCAUAUAAUUAAUUGUCAAUGACUAUCCUUUAACGCAGUGCAGUAGCAGACCUCGAAAUAUUGGGGGGCACAAUACAGAAACAUUAAGAAAAUAUUUUGGGGCACGGCCACGCCCCUACAGGUCAUUUCCUUAUAAUUUUUGAAAAUAUUGGGGGGGGGCAUGAGCCCCCAGUGCCCCACCCCCAGCUACAGCCCUGUAAUGUGAUAUCUAUGACUUUGCAAUCCCCCCCAGCAAAUCCUGGGUGUUCCGGCCUGUAGAUGCAGUGCAUUAAGAAAGAAAAUUUAGAAAAAUAAUCACCAAAAAAUUAAACAAGUAUGUAAAAUGAUCCUCUUUGCCUAUAAUUAGUUUGUACAAAGGAUGUCCUAUAUCGGCUAAGUCUGUUCAUCAGACCCUCUAUUAUACACACUACUGUAGCCUCAGACAACCCAGGGGCGAAUACAGGAGGGGUGGGUAUCCAUCAUCUAAAUCUAAUUCAGCGUGAAGUAUUGUUAGGUCUAUGUGACCUACCAAGUACCACUGGAUCAGUUAUAAGCCAUCUAUAUGGCCAUUAACCACCCCUUAUUUUGAAAUCCUGUAUCGCCCCUGCAACCUAUUGAAUGAUGUUGUUUGAUUUUCUUACAGUUUUCUUCCGGUUUGACCCACUCACUUUCUGCUUGUUGUGUUGGGGUGACAGCUGGUAAUGAUUGACGUGUGUCCAGUGUACACUUUCAAUUGGUUCCCUGAAGAUGCAUCCUGAAAAGUAUCACAAUAAACAUCAACAAAUAAUAAAAUAAAAAUGAUUAUAGGUG
Nematostella vectensis (starlet sea anemone) is the source of this 2596-nucleotide long non-coding RNA. RefSeq lists it as uncharacterized. NCBI's taxonomy places the organism in Eukaryota, Metazoa, Cnidaria, Anthozoa, Actiniaria, Edwardsiidae. The record is from RefSeq and is a predicted model, not a curated record. The transcript has 3 exons.